Suricata suricatta (meerkat) is the source of this 1257-nucleotide long non-coding RNA. RefSeq lists it as uncharacterized. The transcript is spliced from 3 exons. The record is from RefSeq and is a predicted model, not a curated record. Lineage: Eukaryota; Metazoa; Chordata; Mammalia; Carnivora; Herpestidae.
GGCUUAAUAAUAACAACAAAAUAAUAAUGCUAGCUAACACUUAGAAAACCUUUGCUCAGUGCCCUGUACUAUUCUGAGUCUCUACCUAAAUUAACCAAUUAACCCAUACACUGUAUGCUCUAUCUUCGGGCCUGACACCAUUUUGCUCUAGCCCCAUGGACUGCUACCUGUCAGGGAGCUAAGCAAAGAUACCAUAAGGGAGCCAGUAUUUCCUGAACAUGCACAAUGUGCCAGGCACCAUCUGUGCAUUCUUUCACUAAAUCCUCGCGCUAUCCUAGUGUGACAUCAGUUCAUACUUGUUCUUUACAGAUGAGCAAACUGAGGCUUGCAAAGAUCCUGGGUGUCAUUCAGCCAAAACUGGCACCAAGGAUGCAGAUGAGGGUUUGUCUGUCUGCCUGUCUAGUCUGCAUAUCUUUGUUGCACCCGUCCCCCUCCCCCCAACCCCCAACAUAAGCACUCUCCCAGCCCAAGUCCAGGGCACAUGGCUUCCUUCCAUCCACCUGUUUUCCUUGCUUCUCCCUGACAAGAGAGCAAAGUCUGGCCAGGGCACCUCCUUAGCUACUGAUUUGUUAUGGGAACCGAAGGGAUUCUGUACCUCAGUGUUGGCCUAGUUAAAGUGUAUCCUCAGGGCUGAUGGCAGGAUGGGACGUCACUGUGGGAGAAUUCUCUGGAGCUCAGGCCCCACAGAGCUGCUCACCUGCUGAGGCGCCUGAGCAGUCAGACCCCUCCCUUCAGAUGGAUUUUCCUACCGGGAACUCUGGCUUAACUCCUUUGUGACAGGACGUUACCUGAUAAUGCGUGUCUGGUGCCUAGCUCGGAGGGAUUGGAUUUAUCGAGAUGAUUUGCACCAGGGUGAAGAAAACCUGCUCCUACUUUUGACAAGAGAUUAUAGUUGGACCAACUUGCAGGAAACUUGAGUCCAGAGGUUUAGUGAGGCACCUUCAGUCCCCUCACCCCACUCGCCUUGCUGGAGCCACCUUCCCCUGGCAAAGGUGGGAAGCCAAGGUCCAGAGAACAGCAUGACUUAUCCAAAGUCAGACACUGAAUGGAGCUCAGAGCUAGAACUCAAAGCCAUGGUUCCAGACUCUGGGUCCAAGAACUCCCAUGAACUCCUUCGCUAGAGAACCUAGGUGUUGAUGAAGAUGGGUGUGGACCCAGGCGUUCAGGGAUGUGGAGAUCCAGGAACGGAAGGAAAGAAACAUAUGCCAUUCAUGUAAAUUAGAGUAUAUUUGGCUAAUAAACACAUAAACAACCCCA